Molecule: ribosomal RNA, 464 nt
Filed under: uncultured bacterium
Lineage: Bacteria
Description: partial 16S ribosomal RNA
Rfam family: Bacterial small subunit ribosomal RNA
Source: RNAcentral
GAUGAACGCUGGCGGCGUGCUUAACACAUGCAAGUCGAACGGAAAGGCUCCUGCUUGCAGGGGUACUCGAGUGGCGAACGGGUGAGUAACACGUGGGUGAUCUGCCCUGCACUUCGGGAUAAGCCUGGGAAACUGGGUCUAAUACCGGAUAGGACCACAUUUUGGAUGGUGUGGUGGAAAGUUUUUCGGUGUGGGAUGAGCUCGCGGCCUAUCAGCUUGUUGGUGGGGUAAUGGCCUACCAAGGCGUCGACGGGUAGCCGGCCUGAGAGGGUGUGCGGCCACAUUGGGACUGAGAUACGGCCCAGACUCCUACGGGAGGCAGCAGUGGGGAAUAUUGCACAAUGGGCGCAAGCCUGAUGCAGCGACGCCGCGUGGGGGAUGACGGCCUUCGGGUUGUAAACUCCUUUCGCUAGGGACGAAGCGCAAGUGACGGUACCUGGAGAAGAAGCACCGGCUAACUACGU